UCUGACAGUGACAGAAGAAGUGAUAAGGCUUUAACACACACCUCUGCUCUGUUAGUCAGUUAGUCAUUAAAGAGACAGGAUUGAACUCAGUCCACUUCCUGUGAUGUUCUUGCUGGUUUCACGUUUACCAGUGGCUCAUGCUCAAGGAGGCGCGGGACAAACGGCAAGAUGGCCGCCGACCCAAGAAGUGCUCACCGCGAUACCGGAAGUGGGUGCAGUGUGCCCGGGAGAUCAUGACACAUACAUGUUUGGACAAAGUAAUAAGUAUUUAAAGGUAAAGCCAGAAUUUCAGAGGACUUCUAAUGUCUGGAUGCAGUGCAUAUUUUUAAGUUGAGUUCUAACUGACUCUGAGCCGACACUCUUAUGAAUCUUUCAAACCAACCAAACUGUGAAUCAGCAUUCCAAACUAGUCAGAUAGUGCAGUGGUUCCCAGCCUCUUUAUCAAGAGACCCCUGUUUUAACAUUGAAACAUAUUUUAUCUACUCCAAUUGUUCUUCAUGCAUUUUAUUUGAUUCCUGAUUGAAUUAACCUGGUAUUUAUUUGUUAUUUUAUUCAUUUAUUUUAUGUGGACUCUGGGUCUAAGUAUUUAGGGUUUGAUAUUGGAUACAGAUUACACACUUUAAAAUCUUCACUUGUCUAUUGCUUCAUUGAAACCAAAUUCAAGAUUACUGUCCAAAUAAGUCCUUGUUUUCUUUUUAGCACAUUUAUUUUUAUCUUCUCCCUGGCCUU
Molecule: long non-coding RNA, 729 nt
Organism: Silurus meridionalis
Lineage: Eukaryota; Metazoa; Chordata; Actinopteri; Siluriformes; Siluridae
Exons: 3
Source: RefSeq, a predicted model, not a curated record